UACGGGGGGAGCAAGCGUUGUUCGGAUUUACUGGGCGUAAAGGGCGCGUAGGCGGUCAGCACAAGUCAGUUGUGAAAUCUCCGGGCUUAACUCGGAACGGCCAAGUGAUACUGUCACGCUAGAGUGCAGAAAGGGCAAUCGGAAUUCCUGGUGUAGCGGUGAAAUGCGCAGAUAUCAGGAGGAACACCGGUGGCGAAGGCGGUUCUCUGGGCAUGUCCUGACGCUGAGGAGCGAAAGUGUGGGGAGCGAACAGG
RNAcentral lists this ribosomal RNA (254 nucleotides) under uncultured bacterium. RNAcentral describes it as "partial 16S ribosomal RNA". It matches the Rfam family "Bacterial small subunit ribosomal RNA", at positions 524 to 776 of the family's 1533-position model. The record is from RNAcentral.